UUACGUCUGUCUCAGAAAAGAAAGCAUUUUCUGCUUGCAGAAAAAUGGUUUCUUUUCUAGAGACACAAAACCAAUGAGCAUGUAGUGCGAUAGCACGGAAUGCGAAUUGUGUUUGCAAAUUGCGGGAGCGUAAGCGGAGCAAUUUGUGAGGACGUAA
Molecule: small RNA, 157 nt
Organism: Roseburia sp. CAG:309
Lineage: Bacteria; Bacillati; Bacillota; Clostridia; Lachnospirales; Lachnospiraceae
Rfam family: Clostridiales-1 RNA
Source: Rfam